UUUGACGCGUCAUGUAAUCUUCGUUCUAAUGGCGCAACUCCUCCCACUCAUUCAUAAUCCGACCUCCGCGUUUGCACUCGCUGCCUACAAGAGCGCCCAAAUUUGAACAUCACUGAUGUUCAUCGGAUUUACAGAGUGACGACAACCCCCGUCAGCAUGUUAGAUAAAGGAUUUAAGUUAUAUGCUGCAUCAUAUAUACACAACUACGAAGUGUCCAAAAAACACAGGUUGACAGGGGAAGUCGGUGUGAGAGCCCUGUGCUACAGGUCAAUGAGGAAGAGUGAGGCACCACACAGACUAAGUGUAGGCAGGAAGCUGUGUAAAGUUGUUAAUCCCUGUUCAGUGGGGUUCAGUUCAUUUAAGCAUUAGUUAAGUUCAUUCCUGAAGGCCCAUCAACUUGAAUGUUUUCCUUGUCCCCCUGCUUUAUCACACCUAAUUUGACUAGUCAGAUGUGUUUGGGUGAUCAGAAACAAAUUUACACCAAGUUAAUACUGCAAAUAUACACAAUCUAAGUUAUUACAGUUAUCAAGGAUGGUUAAAUUGUUUUAAUAGGGAGAGAAGGAAACACUAAGCAUUCAGGAGGGUAAGCCUGUAGGGGUCAGUAACCAUAACACUGAACUAUGUUCCUGUUCGGCUCUUCCAUGAAGAUGAUGUUACAUUUUUAAUUUUAGUUCUUUCUUCUUAGAUUAAGCUUCUGGAUUCAUCGCCGGUGGUACUGACACAUAGCCAGUGCUCCUGUGUGGCAGGUGCUGUUAUGUGCAAUCACACAGUGGCACUGCUCUUCCAAACAGCACACUACUCACAACUCAGAGUGCCGGUUGUCCCCCUGUGCAUAGCUGCACCGAAUCUGAACAGCAAUGGCACAAGCCACGGACAGUGGGUGUGAAGCCAGGACCUAUCAACUCUAUGAUCUUCACUAAGCCGGUACCAAAUAGGAUGGCCCAGACUGGAGUACGGAGUGGAUUCUACAGAGGCAUUGUGGGUCCAUUACCAGAUCCCUGACCUGACAAGCCCCUUGUGGAAAGUGCCUUUGGGCUGGUGCAGGAGGGCAGUGUUCUGUCAUGUCAGCAGCCGGUUUUGACAACCCGGUACAUCACACUACACCGUGAUGCACCACCAACACCGCACUUGCCUCUGGAGUAUGGGUAUGACAUGAAGGAAACCCUGCUCGCUCAGACAGCCUGUGAUAUUUUCUCAAACCGCUGCGCUGAACCAGUUUCCAAAGAACAUGCUGUGUGACACAAUAAAUAUCCUUUAACCUGUUAACCUGUGGCUUCUGGAAGAAACUCGGGUGAGUCAGUCACUGCAAACACAUUUGUAUCAUCAAGUGUUUGUCAAAUGAAAAUGAUAUGUUUUUCUACACUUAGGAUAAUUUUCUAUGUUGCAGUGCAGUAAAGUGCACGUUUCUUCUGUGUUCAAUCAUACAUGUUCUAAUUGUUAUAAACAGAAAAAAUCUUUUCUUACUUAACUGCUUGAUUCUUAACUUGUUUAACUGAAACAUGAUGAAAUGUCAUAGUAUUAUUUUUUUUUUUUAAAUGUCCUUGGCAGUGCAUGUGUCUGCAUUGUAACUUACUAAUAAAAAGUCCUGUGUGUA
Long non-coding RNA from Oreochromis niloticus (Nile tilapia), 1594 nucleotides. RefSeq lists it as uncharacterized. NCBI's taxonomy places the organism in Eukaryota, Metazoa, Chordata, Actinopteri, Cichliformes, Cichlidae. The record is from RefSeq and is a predicted model, not a curated record. The transcript has 4 exons.